GGAGUCUAGCAUGUGCGCGAGUCGUUGGGUAAAUGGAGUCUGAACACAGACUCCAAAAUGCUAAACCUAUAGGCGAAAUGAAAGUGAAAGUCCGCCUCGCGCGGACCUAGGGAGGAUGGGCCGGCCCACGUGUCGGCCCCGCACUCCCGGGGCGUUUCCGCACGCUCGGCCACAAGUCGAGCGGGGGGCGCACCCAGAGCGUACACGCUGGGACCCGAAAGAUGGUGAACUAUGCCUGGUCAGGACGAAGUCAGGGGAAACCCUGAUGGAGGUCCGUAGCGAUUCUGACGUGCAAAUCGAUCGUCGGAACUGGGUAUAGGGGCGAAAGACUAAUCGAACCAUCUAGUAGCUGGUUCCCUCCGAAGUUUCCCUCAGGAUAGCUGGCGCUCAUCACAGAGCGAGUCUCAUCUGGUAAAGCGAAUGAUUAGAGGCAUUGGGGUCGAAACGGCCUCAACCUAUUCUCAAACUUUAAAUGGGUGAGAACUCCGGCUUGCUUAAAUGUUGAAGCCGCGAGAUACAAAAAUGCACACAGGAUCAGAGUGCCAAGUGGGCCACUUUUGGUAAGCAGAACUGGCGCUGUGGGAUGAACCAAACGCAGAGUUAAAGCGCCCAAAUCGAAGCUUAUGGGAUACCAUGAAAGGCGUUGGUAACUUAAGACAGCAGGACGGUGGCCAU
Molecule: ribosomal RNA, 675 nt
Filed under: Prototrupes sp. BMNH 793036
Lineage: Eukaryota; Metazoa; Arthropoda; Insecta; Coleoptera; Bolboceratidae
Description: eukaryotic LSU rRNA
Rfam family: Eukaryotic large subunit ribosomal RNA
Source: RNAcentral